This 148-nucleotide non-coding RNA is filed under the name Pan troglodytes (chimpanzee). The record is from Rfam by way of RNAcentral. Lineage: Eukaryota; Metazoa; Chordata; Mammalia; Primates; Hominidae.
GCCAGGCGUGGUGGCAUGUGCCUGUAGUCUCAGCUACACAGGAGGCUGAGACAGGAGGAUCACUUGAGCCCAGGAGGUCAAGGCUGCAGUGAGCCAUGACCUUGCCACUGCACUCCAGCCUGGGAGACAGAGUGAGACCCUGUCUCAA